UUCAAUAGCAUUAGGUCAGCUUCCAAUUUUAACACGCUGCAACUCACGUACAUUGGUGUUUUGUCAUCCUUUCUCAUCAGCUCCAAUUUCUAUUGAUUUCUUGCAUCAAGGAAUUCUGGCACCCAAUCACCUAGCACCUAGUCUAGGCAUCUACCACAUCAUCAGCAACAAACAUUUCUUGCAUGAUUUCAUUAACAUUUGCAUAGCCAUCACCAUGCUUAUUCAAAAUCUUAUAUUUUUUCAUGAAACCUCUAACCAGCAAAUGAAAUGAUCUGCUCGAUGUUGCAAAACUGCUUUUAAUUUUCGCAAUCAAUGCAUGGGCAAUAUACAUAUCCAUCAUCUUAAGGAUUAUUUGUGAUGUAUGCCUUGUUGGUGGCCUUCACAAAGGAAUCAAUGCUGUUGACAAACUUCAAAUCUCUAGCAUGCGAACCGUACAUCUAUCCUCC
RNAcentral lists this long non-coding RNA (446 nucleotides) under Setaria viridis. Its description in RNAcentral is "long non-coding RNA (SVIR_LNC008121)". Lineage: Eukaryota; Viridiplantae; Streptophyta; Magnoliopsida; Poales; Poaceae. The record is from RNAcentral.